RNAcentral lists this ribosomal RNA (330 nucleotides) under uncultured eukaryote. RNAcentral's name for it is "partial 18S ribosomal RNA". It matches the Rfam family "Eukaryotic small subunit ribosomal RNA", at positions 1470 to 1796 of the family's 1831-position model. The record is from RNAcentral.
CCCUUAGAUGUUCUGGGCCGCACGCGCGCUACACUGAUGCAUUCAACGAGCCUAUCCUUGACCGACAGGUCCGGGUAAUCUUUGAAUCUGCAUCGUGACGGGGAUAGAUUAUUGCAAUUAUUAAUCUUCAACGAGGAAUGCCUAGUAGGCGCAAGUCAUCAGCUUGCGUUGAUUACGUCCCUGCCCUUUGUACACACCGCCCGUCGCUACUACCGAUUGAAUGGUUUAGUGAGAUCUUCGGAUUGGCGCCACUGCGGCUCAGCAAUGGGCUCGGUGGAUGCCGAAAAGUUGAUCAAACUUGAUCAUUUAGAGGAAGUAAAAGUCGUAACA